Long non-coding RNA from Mauremys reevesii (Reeves's turtle), 332 nucleotides. RefSeq lists it as uncharacterized. The record is from RefSeq and is a predicted model, not a curated record. Lineage: Eukaryota; Metazoa; Chordata; Testudines; Geoemydidae. The transcript is spliced from 2 exons.
GGUGAGGAAACUGCCACUCAAAGGAAACCUGGUCACCAGCUAACUCCUGAGCACAGGCUGUCUCCCUUGCUGUCUGAUUGGCUGAGAGCUCUGCCAGUCACACUCCAAGCAGGAAUGCUGGGCUAGCAAGUCUGUAUAAAAGCACCAGUCUCCCACUGCAGCAGGGAGAUUGCGGUGCCAGGGCUCUGGCUCAGGGAACUGUUUUUCAGGAUGAAGACAAAAGGUUGUAAGACUGGAAUUUCCCAAGGGAUGAACAUUCAAUUUUGUGAAGAAGCUCUAAUAAAAAUGGGUGUAUGGACAUACCUCCUGCACAAACAUCCAGAUAUGAUAAA